CCUACGGGAGGCUGCAGUGGGGAAUAUUGCACAAUGGGCGCAAGCCUGAUGCAGCCAUGCCGCGUGUGUGAAGAAGGCCUUCGGGUUGUAAAGCACUUUCAGCGGGGAGGAAGGCGGUGAGGUUAAUAACCUCAUCGAUUGACGUUACCCGCAGAAGAAGCACCGGCUAACUCCGUGCCAGCAGCCGCGGUAAUACGGAGGGUGCAAGCGUUAAUCGGAAUUACUGGGCGUAAAGCGCACGCAGGCGGUCUGUCAAGUCGGAUGUGAAAUCCCGGGGCUCAACCUGGGAACUGCAUUCGAAAAUGGCGGGCUAGAGUCUUGUAGAGGGGGGUAGAAUUCCAGGUGUAGCGGUGAAAUGCGUAGAGAUCUGGAGGAAUACCGGUGGCGAAGGCGGCCCCAUGGACAAAGACUGACGCUCAGGUCCGAUAGCGUGGGGAGCAAACAGGAUUAGAUACCCUUGUAGUC
This 465-nucleotide ribosomal RNA is filed under the name uncultured Klebsiella sp. RNAcentral's name for it is "bacterial SSU rRNA". It matches the Rfam family "Bacterial small subunit ribosomal RNA", at positions 338 to 795 of the family's 1533-position model. The record is from RNAcentral. Lineage: Bacteria; Pseudomonadati; Pseudomonadota; Gammaproteobacteria; Enterobacterales; Enterobacteriaceae.